UACGGAGGGUGCAAACGUUGUUCGGAAUUACUGGGCGUAAAGCGCGUGUAGGCGCUUGGCAAGUCAGAUGUGAAAUCCCUCGGCUCAACCGAGGAACUGCAUUUGAAACUGCCAAGCUAGAGUACGGGAGAGGGUAGUAGAAUUCCCGGUGUAGAGGUGAAAUUCGUAGAUAUCGGGAGGAAUACCGGUGGCGAAGGCGGCUACCUGGACCGAUACUGACGCUGAGACGCGAAAGCGUGGGGAGCAAACAGGAUUAGAUACCCGCGUA
Molecule: ribosomal RNA, 268 nt
Filed under: uncultured prokaryote
Description: partial 16S ribosomal RNA
Rfam family: Bacterial small subunit ribosomal RNA
Source: RNAcentral